CUCUGGUACCCAAAGGGAUGCUGUGGGUGCAGGUAGUAUUCCUGGUACCCAUAGGGAUGGUGUGGGUACACGGAGCAUCUGGUACCCAAAGGGAUGCUGUGGGUACAGGUGGUAACAAAGGGAUGCUGUUGGUGAAGAUGGUACCCAAAGGGAUGCUGUGGAUACAGAGAGCAUCUGGUACCCAAAGGGAUGCUGCGGGUACAGGUAGUAUCCCCGGUACCCAAAGGGAUGCUGUAGGUGCAGGUGGUGCCCAAAGGGAUGCUGUGGGUGCAGGUGGCAUCCCUGGUAUCCAAAAGGAUGUUGUCGGUGCAGGUAGUAUCCCUGGUGCCCAAAGGGAUGCUGUGGGUGCAGGUAGUAUCCCUGGUACCCAAAGGGAUGCUGUAGGUGCAGGUAGUAUCCCUGGUACCCAAUGGGAUGCUGUAGGUGCAGGUGGUGCCCAAAGGGAUGCUGUGGGUGCAGGUGGCAUCCCUGGUAUCCAAAAGGAUGCUAUGGGUGCAGGUAGUAUUCCUGGUAUCCAAAGGGAUGCUGUGGGUGCAGGUGGCAUCCCUGGUACCCAAAGGGAUGCUGUAGGUGCAGGUGGUGCCCAAAGGGAUGUUGUGGGUGCAGGUGGCAUCCCUGGUAUCCAAAAGGAUGCUGUGGGUGCAGGUAGUAUUCCUGGUACCCAAAGGGAUGCUGUGGGUGCAGGUGGCAUCCCUGGUACCCAAAAGGAUGUUGUGGGUGCAAGUAGUAUCCCUGGUGCCCAAAGGAAUGCUGUAGGUGCAGGUGGUGCCCAAAGGGAUGCUGUGGGUGCAGGUGGUGCCCAAAGGGAUGCUGUGGGUGCAGGUGGCAUCCCUGGUACCCAAAGGGAUGCUGUAGGUGCAGGUGGUGCCCAAAGGGAUGUUGUGGGUGCAGGUAGCAUCCCUGGUAUCCAAAGGGAUACUGUGGGUGCAGGUAGUAUUCCUGGUAUCCAAAGGGAUGCUGUGGGUGCAGGUAGUAUCCCUGGUAUCCAAAAGGAUGUUGUGGGUGCAGGUGGCAUCCCUGGUACCCAAUGGGAUGCUGUCAGUGAGUAUGGUGCCCAAAGGGAUGCUGUGGAUACAGAGAGCAUCUGGUACCCAAAGGGAUGCUGCGGGUGCAGGUGGCAUCCCUGCUACCCAAUGGGAUGUUGUGGGUAGAGAUAGCACCUGAUAUCCAAAGAGGUGCUGUGGGUGCAGGUAGUAUUCCCGGUACCCAAAGGGAUGCUGUAGGUGCAGAGAGCAUCUGGUACCCAAAGGGAUGCUGAGGUUGCAGGUGGCAACCCUGGUACCCAAUGGGAUGCUGUGGGCACAGGUGGUGUCCCUGGUACCCAAAGGGAUGCUGUGGGUGCAGAUGGCAUCCCUAGCACCCAAAGGUAUGCAGACCAUCCCUCAGGGUCUGUACACAUCGCCAGCUGUGCACACACACAGGGCAUGCACUCAGAGCCUGAUUUUGCAGGGUUUCUCACAGAAGCUCACCUUUGCAGGACUUCCUGGGUCGAUUGCCUGCAGCGAGCCCUGCACACAGAGCAGCCCCAAGGCUGCACACAAGGUUGCAGCACGGACGAUGCCUGCAGCAGGCGCCAGCUCCAUCCUGCAGCCCCGCAGCCCUCCAAAAGCUGCACUGCUCUUUGCAUCCGGCCGCCCUUUGAUAGCACAGCAGGAAGCCAGCAGCGCUCAGCUUUCUUGCAAACCUACCCACAUUCAAAUAAAUCUCCCCAAAAUAACCCAUAGGAACAAUGUGCCAUAGCCGGGGUGAGGUGCCGAGCGCUCACUUUCACACUUUCCACCACAUUUUCCCUCUGCAGCCCCCCAAUGGGCCGCUCUCCCCACGUGCUUUCUCAGCAAGCUUUCUGCUCGUAGAACAGAG
Gallus gallus (chicken) is the source of this 1860-nucleotide long non-coding RNA. The record is from Ensembl. Lineage: Eukaryota; Metazoa; Chordata; Aves; Galliformes; Phasianidae.